RNAcentral lists this ribosomal RNA (611 nucleotides) under uncultured marine bacterium. RNAcentral describes it as "bacterial SSU rRNA". It matches the Rfam family "Bacterial small subunit ribosomal RNA", at positions 60 to 716 of the family's 1533-position model. The record is from RNAcentral.
AGUCGAACGAAGUAGCAAUACUUAGUGGCAGACGGGUGAGUAACAUGUAGGUAUCUUCCCAUUGGUGAGGAAUAACACGAGGAAACUUGUGCUAAUACCUCAUAAGUCUUUACGGAGAAAGCUUUAUGCGCCGAUGGAUGAGCCUGCACUUGAUUAGUUUGUUGGUAGGGUAAUGGCCUACCAAGACAAUGAUCAAUAGCUGAUUUGAGAGGAUGAUCAGCCACAUUGGGACUGAGACACGGCCCAAACUCCUACGGGAGGCAGCAGUAGGGAAUCUUGCACAAUGGGGGAAACCCUGAUGCAGCGAUGCCGCGUGAGUGAAGAAGGCCUUUGGGUUGUAAAGCUCUUUCGUCGGGGAAGAAAAUGACUGCACCCGAAUAAGAAGGUCCGGCUAACUUCGUGCCAGCAGCCGCGGUAAUACGAAGGGACCUAGCGUAGUUCGGAAUUACUGGGCUUAAAGAGUUCGUAGGUGGUUAAAAAAGUUGGUGGUGAAAUCCCAGAGCUUAACUCUGGAACUACCAUCAAAACUUUUUAGCUAGAGUAUGAUAGAGGAAAGCAGAAUUUCUAGUGUAGAGGUGAAAUUCGUAGAUAUUAGAAAGAAUACCAAUUGC